AUGACCUAUGAAUUGACAGACU
RNAcentral lists this microRNA (22 nucleotides) under Alligator mississippiensis (American alligator). Its description in RNAcentral is "Ami-Mir-192-P2_5p (mature (guide))". Lineage: Eukaryota; Metazoa; Chordata; Crocodylia; Alligatoridae. The record is from RNAcentral. RNAcentral also lists the same sequence under 4 other names.